CGGGUUGUGAGAGCAAGAGCCCGGAGAUGGAUUCUGAAACAUGAAUCCAGGCCCUACGGGGCGCAGCAGGCGCGAAAACUUUACAAUGCGGGAAACCGUGAUAAGGGGACACCGAGUGCCAGCGUCAUACGCUGGCUGUCCAGGUGUGUAAAAUACACCUGUUAGCAAGGGCCGGGCAAGACCGGUGCCAGCCGCCGCGGUAACACCGGCGGCCCGAGUGGUGAUCGUGAUUAUUGGGUCUAAAGGGUCCGUAGCCGGUUUGGUCAGUCCUCCGGGAAAUCUGAUAGCUCAACUAUUAGGCUUUCGGGGGAUACUGCCAGGCUUGGAACCGGGAGAGGUAAGAGGUACUACAGGGGUAGGAGUGAAAUCUUGUAAUCCCUGUGGGACCACCUGUGGCGAAGGCGUCUUACCAGAACGGGUUCGACGGUGAGGGACGAAAGCUGGGGGCACGAACCGGAUUAGAUACCCGGGUAGUCCCAGCCGUAAACGAUGCUCGCUAGGUGUCAGGCAUGGCGCGACCGUGUCUGGUGCCGCA
This 535-nucleotide ribosomal RNA is filed under the name uncultured Methanosarcina sp. RNAcentral's name for it is "bacterial SSU rRNA". It matches the Rfam family "Archaeal small subunit ribosomal RNA", at positions 270 to 805 of the family's 1478-position model. The record is from RNAcentral. Lineage: Archaea; Methanobacteriati; Methanobacteriota; Methanomicrobia; Methanosarcinales; Methanosarcinaceae.